GUGGAAGCGGGGUCUUAACCAUGGACCGCCAGGGGAAGCUCGGCCCCAUUGGAGUUGCCUGAUAGACCCCCAGGGAUUUUGGCAAACCCUGAGUUUCUGGGAGAAGAACACAGAGUGGAGCCUUUGGGAAGAAGACUCAGGACUCUGUGGUCACAUUUCUCAACAAGGCUUUCUGAAAUGGACCUGCACCAGCCUGUGUGCUAUGAGGCCUCUGGGUCUGAAUUUGCCACAACAGCUGGUGAACC
This is a long non-coding RNA of Balaenoptera musculus (blue whale), 245 nucleotides long. RefSeq lists it as uncharacterized. The transcript has 3 exons. The record is from RefSeq and is a predicted model, not a curated record. Lineage: Eukaryota; Metazoa; Chordata; Mammalia; Artiodactyla; Balaenopteridae.